UGGGGAAUUUGGACAAUGGGCGAAAGCCUGAUCCAGCAAUGCCGCGUGUGUGAAGAAGGCCUUCGGGUUGUAAAGCACUUUUGUCCGGAAAGAAAUCCUUGGCUCUAAUACAGUCGGGGGAUGACGGUACCGGAAGAAUAAGCACCGGCUAACUACGUGCCAGCAGCCGCGGUAAUACGUAGGGUGCAAGCGUUAAUCGGAAUUACUGGGCGUAAAGCGUGCGCAGGCGGUUUGCUAAGACCGAUGUGAAAUCCCCGGGCUCAACCUGGGAACUGCAUUGGUGACUGGCAGGCUAGAGUAUGGCAGAGGGGGGUAGAAUUCCACGUGUAGCAGUGGGAAUGCGUAGAGAUGUGGAGGAAUACCGAUGGCGAAGGCAGCCCCCUGGGCCAAUACUGACGCUCAUGCACGAAAGCGUGGGGAGCAAACAGGAUUAGAUACCCUGGUAGUCCACGCCCUAAACGAUGUCAACUAGUUGUUGGGGAUUCAUUUCCUUAGUAACGUAGCUAACGCGUGAAGUUGACCGCCUGGGGAGUACGGUCGCAAGAUUAAAACUCAAAUG
Molecule: ribosomal RNA, 559 nt
Filed under: uncultured bacterium
Lineage: Bacteria
Description: partial 16S ribosomal RNA
Rfam family: Bacterial small subunit ribosomal RNA
Source: RNAcentral